AGGUUGUGACAGGAAAGGAUGGGCAGACUGGUACUCCUGUUGCUAUAGCAACCCAGCUUCCUCCAAAUGUUUCUGCUGCUUUUUCAUCCCAGCAGCAACCAUUUCAGCAGCCAGCUCUUG
This is a non-coding RNA of Ceratotherium simum simum (southern white rhinoceros), 120 nucleotides long. NCBI's taxonomy places the organism in Eukaryota, Metazoa, Chordata, Mammalia, Perissodactyla, Rhinocerotidae. The record is from RefSeq and is a predicted model, not a curated record.